This 484-nucleotide ribosomal RNA is filed under the name uncultured bacterium. RNAcentral's name for it is "partial 16S ribosomal RNA". It matches the Rfam family "Bacterial small subunit ribosomal RNA", at positions 29 to 507 of the family's 1533-position model. The record is from RNAcentral.
AUUGAACGCUGGCGGCAUGCUUUACACAUGCAAGUCGAACGGCAGCGCGGGCUUCGGCCUGGCGGCGAGUGGCGAACGGGUGAGUAAUACAUCGGAACGUGCCCAGUAGUGGGGGAUAGCUCGGCGAAAGCCGGAUUAAUACCGCAUACGACCUGAGGGUGAAAGCGGGGGAUCUUCGGACCUCGCGCUAUUGGAGCGGCCGAUGGCAGAUUAGCUAGUUGGUGGGGUAAAGGCCUACCAAGGCGACGAUCUGUAGCUGGUCUGAGAGGACGACCAGCCACACUGGGACUGAGACACGGCCCAGACUCCUACGGGAGGCAGCAGUGGGGAAUUUUGGACAAAGGGCGAAAGCCUGAUCCAGCAAUGCCGCGUGUGUGAUGAAGGCCUUCGGGUUGUAAGGCGCUUUUGGCGGGAACGAAAAGGACUGUGCCAAUACCACGGUUCGAUGACGGUACCCGCAGAAUAAGCACCGGCUAACUACGUG